This 30-nucleotide non-coding RNA is filed under the name Rattus norvegicus (Norway rat). Lineage: Eukaryota; Metazoa; Chordata; Mammalia; Rodentia; Muridae. The record is from RNAcentral.
UCUAAAUGUCCUAACCUUGCUUUUUAGCUU